RNAcentral lists this ribosomal RNA (402 nucleotides) under Schizophyllum sp. BAB-3988. RNAcentral's name for it is "eukaryotic LSU rRNA". The stretch from base 1 to 99 matches the Rfam family "5.8S ribosomal RNA", at positions 56 to 154 of the family's 154-position model. Lineage: Eukaryota; Fungi; Basidiomycota; Agaricomycetes; Agaricales; Schizophyllaceae. The record is from RNAcentral.
CGAUACUUGGUGUGAAUUGCAGAAUUCAGUGAAUCAUCGAAUCUUUGAACGCACCUUGCGCCCUUUGGUAUUCCGAGGGGCAUGCCUGUUUGAGUGUCAUUAAAUACCAUCAACCCUCUUUUGACUUCGGUCUCGAGAGUGGCUUGGAAGUGGAGGUCUGCUGGAGCCUAACGGAGCCAGCUCCUCUUAAAUGUAUUAGCGGAUUUCCCUUGCGGGAUCGCGUCUCCGAUGUGAUAAUUUCUACGUCGUUGACCAUCUCGGGGCUGACCUAGUCAGUUUCAAUAGGAGUCUGCUUCCAACCGUCUCUUGACCGAGACUAGCGACUUGUGCGCUAACUUUUGACUUGACCUCAAAUCAGGUAGGACUACCCGCUGAACUUAAGCAUAUCAAUAAGCGGAGGAA